This 449-nucleotide ribosomal RNA is filed under the name uncultured bacterium. Its description in RNAcentral is "bacterial SSU rRNA". It matches the Rfam family "Bacterial small subunit ribosomal RNA", at positions 328 to 794 of the family's 1533-position model. The record is from RNAcentral.
UGCCCAGACUCCUACGGGAGGCAGCAGUGGGGAAUAUUGCACAAUGGGGGAAACCCUGAUGCAGCAACGCCGCGUGAGUGAAGAAGUCUUUCGGUAUGUAAAGCUCUAUCAGCAGGGAAGAAGAUGACGGUACCUGAGUAAGAAGCCCCGGCUAACUACGUGCCAGCAGCCGCGGUAAUACGUAGGGGGCAAGCGUUAUCCGGAUUUACUGGGUGUAAAGGGAGCGUAGACGGCAGCGCAAGUCUGGAGUGAAAUGCCGGGGCCCAACCCCGGAACUGCUUUGGAAACUGUGUAGCUAGAGUGCUGGAGAGGCAAGCGGAAUUCCUAGUGUAGCGGUGAAAUGCGUAGAUAUUAGGAAGAACACCAGUGGCGAAGGCGGCUUGCUGGACAGUAACUGACGUUGAGGCUCGAAAGCGUGGGGAGCAAACAGGAUUAGAUACCCGUGUAGA